This is a long non-coding RNA of Hemicordylus capensis (graceful crag lizard), 1126 nucleotides long. RefSeq lists it as uncharacterized. NCBI's taxonomy places the organism in Eukaryota, Metazoa, Chordata, Lepidosauria, Squamata, Cordylidae. The record is from RefSeq and is a predicted model, not a curated record. The transcript has 3 exons.
GUGAACAGGGGCUGCUGAGGAGGUGAAUGGGGAAUUCAGUGGUGACCCCCACAUUCCAAACAUGGUGCUCUGUGUGACUGCUCGACUCACUGAGAAUGUGAGCGAUCAGCUAAGAAAAAUCAAUAUUUCACAGCUCACACCAAAGAGGAUCUAUACUCCAGCAUCUCAGUUCUCAGCAUUUCAGCUGCAGUGACUGGCCUAAAGUCAAUCUGGGAGCUGGUCAAGUGCUUUCUACAGAUGCAGUAAAAACUACUGAGAACUGUGAAACCUAGCUGAUUAGGAAACAGAGACGGAAGUAUUUAUUUUGGUCAAUGCAGCCAAUAGUAGCAUCAUAAUGAAAUCCAUUGGUUCUCCAGGGAGAAGCUGAAAUUCAAAAAGCAUUUCAGGAUUCUUCUCAAGAAGAAACACAGGAGAGUCUUCUACAACAGUUUUUCCAUAUUCCCAAGCUGGACUGGCCCACUGCAUCAAGAUAUCAGGUUCUGCAGAAUUCACUUGUUUAUGGAAACAGGGAUGAUAAGAUAACUUAAAUAAAGACCUCAGUGAAGGAUUGGGUAAUAUCAACAAAAUUAUGAAGGAAGUUUUCUCUCCCUCUGCCGAUCUCUGAUCCAUAGAAAAGGGGUAUAAAAGAAGCAGGGGGAAAUGAAAUGCAUGCUCUAAGGCUUUCAUUUGAGAUAAGAAUAUCAAGCUAACCCCUUAGCUGUCUUUCUGGUUUUCCUGUUAUAUUCUUUCCAGUGUUUGGCAACUGUCUUUUGAAGAAUCCUGCAUUUUCACUUGUUAGUUUAGGCCAUAAAUUAAUUUAGGAUGCUGGACAUGAUGUUUUAAAGUUAAGGCUUGCAUUCAGUUGUAUUUCACAAUCUGCUAUUCAUCAUAGUUUUGAUUUGCCCAGAAUGAUAUUGUCCAGAUAAAGUAUAGAACUGUCUUUCCAUUGUCUUAGUAUCAUGUAUCCCUUGUUUGCUUUGAGUGUUUAUUGAUGUAUUGCCCCAUGAUUUAUUGUUUUAUUGUUCCUUUUAGUCAUUUGCUUUCACCUCCUUCUUAUAUAUUGUGCCAAUAAGCCAUGGUGUUUUGUCCCAGUUACAUUUCUGAGUCAUGUGUUCAUUUGAGCUUGUGUGUUCCUUACAGGUUUGGC